Molecule: transfer RNA, 77 nt
Filed under: Oceanirhabdus sp. W0125-5
Lineage: Bacteria; Bacillati; Bacillota; Clostridia; Eubacteriales; Clostridiaceae
Description: tRNA-Arg
Rfam family: tRNA
About the family: Transfer RNA (tRNA) molecules are approximately 80 nucleotides in length. Their secondary structure includes four short double-helical elements and three loops (D, anti-codon, and T loops).
Source: RNAcentral
GCACUCGUAGCUCAGUAGGAUAGAGCGUCCCCCUCCUAAGGGGAAGGCCGGGGGUUCGAUUCCUCUCGAGUGUACCA